UUUAUUUCGUCUCCAAAUCUACUUCCAGAGAUGGAUUUUUCCUAUAAAUAUGAAGUUCCUCUGUCAGUUUUGUGAGAAGCAAUUUUGCUAAGUUGUACUUGUUUUCUCUAUAUUGUUCAGUAAUAAAUAUCGUCACUUUACAAUUAACCCAUUUUGUUCUUCUUUACUUUAAAUCUUGUUUUCGUGGUGUGAUUUUGUUUACUUCAAUAUUGUCAUUAAAUCUCAUUCCUUACAAUCUGAUUUGGGAUCACCAAGUUGUAUUAGAGCUUUCCAACAGAGAGAUCACCAAGUGGUAUCAGAGCUUUCGCGCCCAACAAAGCUUUCAAAAAGUCCACUACAAUCUCCAGAUUAAGACAGUGCAAAUGUGACAGUUUUCCAAGUUGUAGAGGGACUACUAACUAGAAUCCAACCUGAGAAAGAUCAAGAUACUGCAAAUUUUUCAAAGAACCAAUGAAACUUGGAAUUCGAAUCACUUCAAGAUCAUUACAACUCAGAUCUAACCGAGUCGGAUACAUAGAAUCAAAGAAGGCUUCAGCUUCUCCUCUACUUAUAUCUCGAGUGAACUUCAAUAUCAGAAACAUCUACGCUAAACUCGGUGUAAGGUUCAACGUGACGAUUAUGAAGGCGAAUUUCAUGGACUCAAGAUGUUAUAUCAUCACAAACGAUCUCAACCCAUUUCCACUAGGGGUGGGCGUGGGUCGGUUCGGUAAAUGGAAUUGUCGG
This 723-nucleotide long non-coding RNA is filed under the name Olea europaea subsp. europaea. The record is from RNAcentral. Lineage: Eukaryota; Viridiplantae; Streptophyta; Magnoliopsida; Lamiales; Oleaceae.